UACGUAGGGAGCAAGCGUUGUUCGGAUUUACUGGGCGUAAAGGGCGCGUAGGCGGCGUGUUAAGUCAGCUGUGAAAUCUCCAAGCUCAACUUGGAACGGCCAGCUGAUACUGAUGUGCUAGAGUGCAGAAGGGGCAAUCGGAAUUCUUGGUGUAGCGGUGAAAUGCGUAGAUAUCGGGAGGAACACCGGUGGCGAAGGCGGCCCCCUGGUUGGAUACUGACGCUGAGACGCGAAAGCGUGGGGAGCAAACAGG
RNAcentral lists this ribosomal RNA (253 nucleotides) under uncultured bacterium. RNAcentral's name for it is "partial 16S ribosomal RNA". It matches the Rfam family "Bacterial small subunit ribosomal RNA", at positions 524 to 776 of the family's 1533-position model. The record is from RNAcentral.